CUCUUGCUUCACAUAAGAGGUCCAGCCUGCCCAGUGAAAUUUUAACGGCCGCGGUACCCUGACCGUGCGAAGGUAGCAUAAUCACUCGUUCUCUAAAUAGGGACUUGUAUCAAUGGCAUCACGAGGAUCAUACUGUCUCCUCUCUCCAAUCAGUGAACCUAAUCUCCCCGUGAAGAAGCGGGGUUACACCCAUAAGACGAGAAGACCCCAUGGAGCUUUAAACCUUAAAGCAAUUUAAAUAAAAUAUUCCCACAUAUACUUUAGAUAUGCAUGAAAGUUUUGGGUUGGGGUGACCGCGGAGCAAAAACAAACCUCCACAACGAAAAGAACUAAAUCUUUAUCUAAGAACUACUAUUCUAAGAAUCAACACACUGACGAAUACUGAUCCGAUAAUCGAUCAAUGAACCAAGUUACCCUGGGGAUAACAGCGCAAUCUACUUCGAGAGCUCAUAUCGACAAGUAGGCUUACGACCUCGAUGUUGGAUCAGGGUAUCCCAGUGGUGCAGCCGCUACUAAUGGUUCGUUUGUUCAACGAUUAAACCCC
Molecule: ribosomal RNA, 544 nt
Filed under: Chiromantis rufescens (African foam-nest treefrog)
Lineage: Eukaryota; Metazoa; Chordata; Amphibia; Anura; Rhacophoridae
Description: partial large subunit ribosomal RNA
Rfam family: Bacterial large subunit ribosomal RNA
Source: RNAcentral